GCCACCGUGGUGUAGUGGUCAGCACGCUCGACGAGAAUUCGGGAGGUCCAUGGUUCGAGUCCAAGCGAGGGCA
This is a non-coding RNA of Stegodyphus dumicola, 73 nucleotides long. The record is from the annotation of a RefSeq genome assembly. NCBI's taxonomy places the organism in Eukaryota, Metazoa, Arthropoda, Arachnida, Araneae, Eresidae.